GACGAACGCUGGCGGCGUGCUUAACACAUGCAAGUCGAACGCUGAAGCUCAGCUUUUGUUGGGUGGAUGAGUGGCGAACGGGUGAGUAACACGUGAGUAACCUGCCUCCUUCUUUGGGAUAACGCCCGGAAACGGGUGCUAAUACUGGAUAUUCACUGGUCUUCGCAUGGGGGUUGGUGGAAAGGGUUUUUCUGGUGGGGGAUGGGCUCGCGGCCUAUCAGCUUGUUGGUGGGGUGAUGGCCGACCAAGGCUUUGACGGGUAGCCGGCCUGAGAGGGUGACCGGUCACAUUGGGACUGAGAUACGGCCCAGACUCCUACGGGAGGCAGCAGUGGGGAAUAUUGCACAAUGGGCGCAAGCCUGAUGCAGCGACGCCGCGUGAGGGAUGGAGGCCUUCGGGUUGUGAACCUCUUUCGCUCAUGGUCAAGCCGCAACAAUGGUUGUGGUGAGGGUAGUGGGUAAAGAAGCGCCGGCUAACUACGUG
RNAcentral lists this ribosomal RNA (483 nucleotides) under uncultured bacterium. Its description in RNAcentral is "partial 16S ribosomal RNA". It matches the Rfam family "Bacterial small subunit ribosomal RNA", at positions 28 to 507 of the family's 1533-position model. The record is from RNAcentral.